Molecule: long non-coding RNA, 504 nt
Filed under: Felis catus (domestic cat)
Lineage: Eukaryota; Metazoa; Chordata; Mammalia; Carnivora; Felidae
Description: lncRNA (ENSFCAG00000052962.1)
Source: RNAcentral
AUCUUACAUUAUUGAGUAGUCUUGCUGAGAGAUAUCUCAUCUUUGACAAUGACCCAAGACAAGCACAGGCCAUAAUGCGAAAGAACAGUCCAGUGAACUAGGAUGUUUAUAAACAACCCAGGAACACUUACAUGCAACAGCUACAGAAGAACCACCAAAUUAGGACUAUUCUGGCUCCUAAGAUCAAUUUAAAAGCACAUCUCAACUGUUAUGAAAAUUAUCUAAAUAUGCUUCACACCACCUGCAAGUCCUGUUUAAGACCAGACAAAUCAAAUAGUGUGAAUAAACUUGUAUGAAGUCUGCUAAAGGCUUGCUGCAAAUACUUACUUGGAAGAGUUUGGAAACAUCCUUUGUCAUGACUGUUUUAAACCCAGUCUCAGUACACUGCCUUUAACAUUUAAUGCUGACAACUGGAAAAAUAUAACAAGGCAAAGCUGGAGAAUCUGGUAUUACCAAAUUUGGUUAAUGUCCAGGAAAAUAACAAUAAAGAAGUCAUUAUUUUCA